CAAAUGACUCUCGGCAAUGGAUAUCUCGGCUCUUGCAUCGAUGAAGAACGUAGUGAAAUGCGAUACUUGGUGUGAAUUGCAGAAUCUCGUGAACCAUUGAGUCUUUGAACGCAAGUUGUGCCCAAGGCCUUGUGGUCGAGGGCACGCCUGCUUGGGCGUCAUGG
This 164-nucleotide ribosomal RNA is filed under the name Amomum putrescens. Its description in RNAcentral is "5.8S ribosomal RNA". It matches the Rfam family "5.8S ribosomal RNA". From Rfam's summary of the family: 5.8S ribosomal RNA (5.8S rRNA) is a component of the large subunit of the eukaryotic ribosome. It is transcribed by RNA polymerase I as part of the 45S precursor that also contains 18S and 28S rRNA. The record is from RNAcentral. Lineage: Eukaryota; Viridiplantae; Streptophyta; Magnoliopsida; Zingiberales; Zingiberaceae.